Molecule: ribosomal RNA, 1530 nt
Filed under: Escherichia coli Envira 8/11
Lineage: Bacteria; Pseudomonadati; Pseudomonadota; Gammaproteobacteria; Enterobacterales; Enterobacteriaceae
Also listed under: 1 other name
Description: bacterial SSU rRNA
Rfam family: Bacterial small subunit ribosomal RNA
Source: RNAcentral
AGAGUUUGAUCAUGGCUCAGAUUGAACGCUGGCGGCAGGCCUAACACAUGCAAGUCGAACGGUAACAGAAAGCAGCUUGCUGCUUUGCUGACGAGUGGCGGACGGGUGAGUAAUGUCUGGGAAACUGCCUGAUGGAGGGGGAUAACUACUGGAAACGGUAGCUAAUACCGCAUAACGUCGCAAGACCAAAGAGGGGGACCUUCGGGCCUCUUGCCAUCGGAUGUGCCCAGAUGGGAUUAGCUUGUUGGUGGGGUAACGGCUCACCAAGGCGACGAUCCCUAGCUGGUCUGAGAGGAUGACCAGCCACACUGGAACUGAGACACGGUCCAGACUCCUACGGGAGGCAGCAGUGGGGAAUAUUGCACAAUGGGCGCAAGCCUGAUGCAGCCAUGCCGCGUGUAUGAAGAAGGCCUUCGGGUUGUAAAGUACUUUCAGCGGGGAGGAAGGGAGUAAAGUUAAUACCUUUGCUCAUUGACGUUACCCGCAGAAGAAGCACCGGCUAACUCCGUGCCAGCAGCCGCGGUAAUACGGAGGGUGCAAGCGUUAAUCGGAAUUACUGGGCGUAAAGCGCACGCAGGCGGUUUGUUAAGUCAGAUGUGAAAUCCCCGGGCUCAACCUGGGAACUGCAUCUGAUACUGGCAAGCUUGAGUCUCGUAGAGGGGGGUAGAAUUCCAGGUGUAGCGGUGAAAUGCGUAGAGAUCUGGAGGAAUACCGGUGGCGAAGGCGGCCCCCUGGACGAAGACUGACGCUCAGGUGCGAAAGCGUGGGGAGCAAACAGGAUUAGAUACCCUGGUAGUCCACGCCGUAAACAAUGUCGACUUGGAGGUUGUGCCCUUGAGGCGUGGCUUCCGGAGCUAACGCGUUAAGUCGACCGCCUGGGGAGUACGGCCGCAAGGUUAAAACUCAAAUGAAUUGACGGGGGCCCGCACAAGCGGUGGAGCAUGUGGUUUAAUUCGAUGCAACGCGAAGAACCUUACCUGGUCUUGACAUCCACGGAAGUUUUCAGAGAUGAGAAUGUGCCUUCGGGAACCGUGAGACAGGUGCUGCAUGGCUGUCGUCAGCUCGUGUUGUGAAAUGUUGGGUUAAGUCCCGCAACGAGCGCAACCCUUAUCCUUUGUUGCCAGCGGUCCGGCCGGGAACUCAAAGGAGACUGCCAGUGAUAAACUGGAGGAAGGUGGGGAUGACGUCAAGUCAUCAUGGCCCUUACGACCAGGGCUACACACGUGCUACAAUGGCGCAUACAAAGAGAAGCGACCUCGCGAGAGCAAGCGGACCUCAUAAAGUGCGUCGUAGUCCGGAUUGGAGUCUGCAACUCGACUCCAUGAAGUCGGAAUCGCUAGUAAUCGUGGAUCAGAAUGCCACGGUGAAUACGUUCCCGGGCCUUGUACACACCGCCCGUCACACCAUGGGAGUGGGUUGCAAAAGAAGUAGGUAGCUUAACCUUCGGGAGGGCGCUUACCACUUUGUGAUUCAUGACUGGGGUGAAGUCGUAACAAGGUAACCGUAGGGGAACCUGCGGUUGGAUCACCU